Molecule: ribosomal RNA, 511 nt
Filed under: uncultured bacterium
Lineage: Bacteria
Description: bacterial SSU rRNA
Rfam family: Bacterial small subunit ribosomal RNA
Source: RNAcentral
CUAGGACGAACGCUGGCGGCAUGCCUAAUACAUGCAAGUCGAGCGAAUGAUGAAGAAGCUUGCUCUUCUGAUUAGCGGCGGACGGGUGAGUAACACGUGGGCAACCUACCCUAUAGAUUGGGAUAACACAGGGAAACCUGUGCUAAUACCGAAUAAUACAUUUUCUUUCAUGAGAAGAUGUUGAAAGAUGGUUUCGGCUAUCACUAUAGGAUGGGCCCGCGGCGCAUUAGCUAGUUGGUGAGGUAAUGGCUCACCAAGGCAACGAUGCGUAGCCGACCUGAGAGGGUGAUCGGCCACACUGGGACUGAGACACGGCCCAGACUCCUACGGGAGGCAGCGGUAGGGAAUCUUCCACAAUGGGCGAAAGCCUGAUGGAGCAAUGCCGCGUGAGUGAUGAAGGAUUUCGGUUCGUAAAACUCUGUUGUAAGGGAAGAACAAGUAGCGUAGUAACUGGCGUUACCUUGACGGUACCUUAUUAGAAAGCCACGGCUAACUACGUGCCAGCAGCAGC